AGUGAACGCUGGCGGUAGGCCUAACACAUGCAAGUCGAACGGCAGCACAGUAAGAGCUUGCUCUUACGGGUGGCGAGUGGCGGACGGGUGAGGAAUACAUCGGAAUCUACUUUUUCGUGGGGGAUAACGUAGGGAAACUUACGCUAAUACCGCAUACGACCUACGGGUUAAAGCAGGGGAUCUUCGGACCUUGCGCGAUUGAAUGAGCCGAUGUCGGAUUAGCUAGUUGGCGGGGUAAAGGCCCACCAAGGCGACGAUCCGUAGCUGGUCUGAGAGGAUGAUCAGCCACACUGGAACUGAGACACGGUCCAGACUCCUACGGGAGGCAGCAGUGGGGAAUAUUGGACAAUGGGCGCAAGCCUGAUCCAGCCAUACCGCGUGAGUGAAGAAGGCCUUCGGGUUGUAAAGCCCUUUUGUUAGGAAAGAAAAGCAGCAGGUUAAACUGCCGCUGUUAUGACGGUACCCAAAGAAUAAGCAACGGCUAACUUCGUG
RNAcentral lists this ribosomal RNA (492 nucleotides) under uncultured bacterium. RNAcentral's name for it is "partial 16S ribosomal RNA". It matches the Rfam family "Bacterial small subunit ribosomal RNA", at positions 29 to 507 of the family's 1533-position model. The record is from RNAcentral.